AGAAAGCAAGGAUGAUGAAUCAAUUAGAUGUGUGAAAGGAAUUUUCCUUUCUGAACUCAAACUUUUGAGGCAUAUUUGUAAGUCUGACUUGCUCUUU
Molecule: small nucleolar RNA, 97 nt
Organism: Neltuma alba
Lineage: Eukaryota; Viridiplantae; Streptophyta; Magnoliopsida; Fabales; Fabaceae
Product: small nucleolar RNA Z266
Exons: 1
Source: RefSeq, a predicted model, not a curated record